Pogona vitticeps (central bearded dragon) is the source of this 1769-nucleotide long non-coding RNA. The record is from Ensembl. Lineage: Eukaryota; Metazoa; Chordata; Lepidosauria; Squamata; Agamidae.
ACCUCUGCUCCUCCUCCUUUGCCCUUUGGGCUUUUCCCACCUCUUUUCUGAGGUGUAGGUUUUUCUGGUGGGGCGGCUUCCUCUCUGUCACUUGCUUUCUUCUGGGGCUGAGAGGCUUGAACUUCCCCUGUGUCAAUAGGAAGAGAGGGCAGCAUACAGGCAGGAGGAAUCUCUCUCCCAUACACUUUCUCACAAAUUUCUUUUUAAAAAAACAUGUUUCUUUCUGAAUGAAAUACACAGAGAUACUUGUCCCUUCCAGGGUAGCAGUUCUUCCAAUCAUCCAAAGAGUAGUGCAGUGAAUUUUGCACAACAACAGUAAUUACAGGUUGAAGAUAUUUGAAAAGGGGGCCAUACUUAACCCCUGAGGUCUUCUGUCUUUGUAUGACAGUAUCACAAAUGCAAGCAUCCAAUGGUGUCUAUUGCUUGCAAUAGUGCAACAUUGAGCUCAAUGAUACCUACCUUUUAUAUUUGUAUGAGGAAAUCCAGCCAGCUAUAUAGCUCAGUGGUUUAGGUCUCUGGCUGCAGAGCCAGAGGUUGGGAGUUCAAUUCCCCACUGUGCCUCCUGUGAACAGAGCCAGCCUGCAUGGUCUUGGGUGAUCUGCACAGUCCCAGAAUGCCCGCAGAAGAAGGGAAUGGUAAAACACAUCUGAGUGUUCUGUACCUGGAAAAGCCUGAAAAGGUUCAUCAUAAGUCAGAAUUGACUUGGCAGUACAAAAUUAUCAUUAUUGGGGGAGCCAACCUAGUUUCCAGUUGUGCAACCAGCUCUACAACUAAGUUUGCAGCCUGCUCAACCAGUGAUAUAAAAUGAGUAGCAUGCCUAAGGUGGAGCAUAUAGUGGCAAAGACAGAAGAAACUGAAUGUCUUCAAUUUUCCAAGAAAGCAGUUCAAUAAUAUGCCUUCCCAGACACUACGCACCCCAUCAAAAUACUUUAGGUAAUACAGGAUGAGUCCUCAAAUAUAUUACUGUAAAAACUGCUCUUCCUCCAGUUGUAUUGUGAGGAGCUGUGUGCUGCCAGUUAUUGUGGCCAGGAAGUUCCUUAAUGUUCCCAUGGCUUUUAAUAAACAAACUGCUGAUAACGAUCGGACGUACUGCAUCUUGUUCCUUUCAGCUCUAAGUCUUGCAUUAACUUGGACAAAAUGGAACUAUGUCCAGCCGGUCCCAGACACUGAAGAACUGGAUGGCUUAUGCAAAACAAGAUUUUCCACAAACUCUGCCCAAUAGAAGAUUGUGAACAUGAUUUGGAUGCCUGUUUAUUCUGCUGUUGAGGUGCUGUUAAUGACAUUUUCAAGGGUACUACCAAAUUUUUUUUAAUUCUUUGGCUACAUUUGAACUGGACAGUCCUAUGAAUGGACAAGAUCUCCAAAUUAUAGCAUUCUGCGCUAUACAACAAUGAUUAAUACUGCUAAGAUCCCUGUUGGUUAUUGAUGCCAGUGUAAGUGUAUUGGUAUAAACCACAGUCAUAAAUUGUUGCUACCUAACGAGUUGCCGUUUGUUGUGUGCCAAGUCACAGGGCGGGUGCACAGCAAGGAGAACAAGUGGCGACACAUUACCUAGCAGUGAUUUAUAUGAUUAUACUGAUACUCUCUAGAAGGCUCUCAUACUUUGGUCACAUCAUGAGAAGACAAGACUUAAUGCAAAGUACAUUAAUGCCAGGAAAAAUUGAAGAAAGAGGAAUCAAAGAAUCAUAGAAUAAGGGAACUGGAAGGGGGCUCUAAAGCCCUCAAGUCCACCCCCUGCUCAAUACAGGAAUUCAAGUUAAAGUAUAUUA